RNAcentral lists this ribosomal RNA (934 nucleotides) under Escherichia coli. RNAcentral describes it as "partial 23S ribosomal RNA". It matches the Rfam family "Bacterial large subunit ribosomal RNA", at positions 1 to 975 of the family's 2925-position model. The record is from RNAcentral. Lineage: Bacteria; Pseudomonadati; Pseudomonadota; Gammaproteobacteria; Enterobacterales; Enterobacteriaceae.
GGUUAAGCGACUAAGCGUACACGGUGGAUGCCCUGGCAGUCAGAGGCGAUGAAGGACGUGCUAAUCUGCGAUAAGCGUCGGUAAGGUGAUAUGAACCGUUAUAACCGGCGAUUUCCGAAUGGGGAAACCCAGUGUGAUUCGUCACACUAUCAUUAACUGAAUCCAUAGGUUAAUGAGGCGAACCGGGGGAACUGAAACAUCUAAGUACCCCGAGGAAAAGAAAUCAACCGAGAUUCCCCCAGUAGCGGCGAGCGAACGGGGAGCAGCCCAGAGCCUGAAUCAGUGUGUGUGUUAGUGGAAGCGUCUGGAAAGGCGCGCGAUACAGGGUGACAGCCCCGUACACAAAAAUGCACAUGCUGUGAGCUCGAUGAGUAGGGCGGGACACGUGGUAUCCUGUCUGAAUAUGGGGGGACCAUCCUCCAAGGCUAAAUACUCCUGACUGACCGAUAGUGAACCAGUACCGUGAGGGAAAGGCGAAAAGAACCCCGGCGAGGGGAGUGAAAAAGAACCUGAAACCGUGUACGUACAAGCAGUGGGAGCACGCUUAGGCGUGUGACUGCGUACCUUUUGUAUAAUGGGUCAGCGACUUAUAUUCUGUAGCAAGGUUAACCGAAUAGGGGAGCCGAAGGGAAACCGAGUCUUAACUGGGCGUUAAGUUGCAGGGUAUAGACCCGAAACCCGGUGAUCUAGCCAUGGGCAGGUUGAAGGUUGGGUAACACUAACUGGAGGACCGAACCGACUAAUGUUGAAAAAUUAGCGGAUGACUUGUGGCUGGGGGUGAAAGGCCAAUCAAACCGGGAGAUAGCUGGUUCUCCCCGAAAGCUAUUUAGGUAGCGCCUCGUGAAUUCAUCUCCGGGGGUAGAGCACUGUUUCGGCAAGGGGGUCAUCCCGACUUACCAACCCGAUGCAAACUGCGAAUACCGGAGAAUGUUAU